UCAGUGGGGAGGAGGAGGAGGUGAAUCCCACCCAGCAGACCUCACUGCAUGAGCAGCGUGUCACCCUCUCCAGUGGCCAGGACCUCUCUGAGUCCCGCUGCCCUUCCCGCUGCCCUGCUGCCCGAUGCAGGAGAUGACUGCGCCUGCCCGGGUCCAGCUGGGUGUGUCGGAAUACCAGAGGAAAUACACCUGUCAUGGCCACAUGUGGAGUUGUCCUUGAUAUCAAGAGAGACGGGACACAUAGCUGGAGAAAUCCAGAAAAAACCCGUGCAAGUGUCCUGUGACCUUGAGACCGAAAUAUAACUUUUCCCAAGAACUAUGAAGAGGAGGAAGACGAAGAAGAUCUAGAAUCACUGGCCUCCAGUGGGCCCAGUGAGCUGCAGGAGGAUGCAGGGACUGCAGGGCUGUCACAGGCACUGACGGAGUAGGGUUUCCCUCCUGGUGGUGCUGACCUGUCUGACUGCUGAGAGCUGAUCAGAAGCGCCACCUCCCUGUCUGCCGAGCCUGAGGCCGAGUCUGUUCUGGAUGGAGCGGCCCCCACGCAGGAGGCCUGUCCCCAAGGGCCUUGGAGUGGAGACUUGAGCCCCUGCGUGUCACAGGUGCAAGCUGCAAACACACAGCUGCAGCCAAGCGCCCUGGUGACUGACUGUCUGCAGCUCCAGCUGGACCAGCAGUGGGGUCGUGGCUGUGGCUUUGCCACAUGGAGCCUCCCCUGCGACCCCUGGAUCCUCGCAGCCAGCGCUGACUCUGGGCACCAGUGGCUGCUCCUCCCAGUUCUUGGAUUCCCAGGAGCCCAGCCAAGACUCCCCGCACUGGCCCAGACGGUCUCUCCCCUGCUCGCUGGCCCGAGUGCCCUGAAACCGAGGAUGAGCGAGAGAAAGUUGCUGUUCAGCAAGUGGAGAGUCACGUGCAGUUUCUCAGGCCUGCAGCUGUGGGUGCAGAGGUAACCCCACCUGCGGUCUCACACACACACACUCCUGCUGCUCUCUGUGCAAGCGGACAGCUCCUCUCCCGCUGCUCUUUCUCUGCCACGUGUGUUCCCUCCAACAGCCGCUGUAACCUCCGUCUGGUCUCGAUGGUCAAGUUGAUCAUUGACUUUGCAAGGCCAGCCAGGUCCCUGGAAUGCGCCUGCCAGGACUCAAGAGUUUUCCUUCUUUUCCAUCCUUGGCGACCUGUAGCUCCCUAGGAGCAGCCUCUGCUGUGACUCCCUCCAACCUCUGAAUGAGAACAGUUAAAAGUGAGCACAUUUAUUGCUCAUGGCAAAAAGUAACUUAGAACCUGGUCCCAGGCAGGAGACCUGCAGUGGCCUUGUCAGCUUUGUGUUCAGCCCCAGAGGUGCAGGGCUGUGUGACGAGGGUGGCGUUUGCAGGGACUCAGUGUCCAGGCACUGUGGACUCAUUUGAGCUGACAUUAGCUGAAGGACACUGAAGGGACCCUAAAGUGACGUCAGUGCAGAAGUAGUUGCACAGGGCGGGACAUCAAUCCUCAUAGACCAUGGGGUCCUUAGACAUCUGCUCUCUGUCCAUUUCCUUCCCGUUUCUACCUCCACAAGUCCAGGCAAGCGUCCCUGCUCUCUCUGUGCAAUUCCAUUUGGAAUCUCUCCUUCUUCCUUUCUUUGCCGACCCUCUCUAGGAAAAUACUUUUGCUGUUUCUAAAUCCUGAUCCCUGUCCCACCCAGCGUGACCCACAGCCUGCAGUGGCUUGUUCAUUUCUCCAUUGGACCCUUUCUCUCCUCCUUCCAAACAGUGUGGAAAGGGCCUCAGGCCGGGGUUCUAGUUCCGGGGUUGUCAGCAACAGGUCACGUGGCUUUAGUGGAGUCUCAGCCCUUCGGCACCACGCUCUCCUCGUCAGUCCAAGGGGGACGGGACGUGGAGGAGUCCGAGGUCCCUGCUGGCUCUCACAGCCGGGCUCUUCCCACAGCCGCCCCCCCCUCCCUGAAA
Lemur catta (Ring-tailed lemur) is the source of this 1940-nucleotide RNA transcript. It is a transcript of the gene named neuroblastoma breakpoint family member 4-like, with no coding region annotated. The transcript has 6 exons. NCBI's taxonomy places the organism in Eukaryota, Metazoa, Chordata, Mammalia, Primates, Lemuridae. The record is from RefSeq and is a predicted model, not a curated record.